RNAcentral lists this ribosomal RNA (253 nucleotides) under uncultured bacterium. RNAcentral's name for it is "partial 16S ribosomal RNA". It matches the Rfam family "Bacterial small subunit ribosomal RNA", at positions 524 to 776 of the family's 1533-position model. The record is from RNAcentral.
UACGAAGGGGGCUAGCGUUGCUCGGAAUCACUGGGCGUAAAGCGCACGUAGGCGGAUCUUUAAGUCAGGGGUGAAAUCCUGGAGCUCAACUCCAGAACUGCCUUUGAUACUGGGGAUCUCGAGUCCGGGAGAGGUGAGUGGAACUGCGAGUGUAGAGGUGAAAUUCGUAGAUAUUCGCAAGAACCCCAGUGGCGAAGGCGGCUCACUGGCCCGGUACUGACGCUGAGGUGCGAAAGCGUGGGGAGCAAACAGG